This 74-nucleotide transfer RNA is filed under the name Culex quinquefasciatus (southern house mosquito). RNAcentral describes it as "tRNA-Thr". The stretch from base 8 to 67 matches the Rfam family "tRNA", at positions 7 to 64 of the family's 71-position model. Rfam says of the family: Transfer RNA (tRNA) molecules are approximately 80 nucleotides in length. The record is from RNAcentral. Lineage: Eukaryota; Metazoa; Arthropoda; Insecta; Diptera; Culicidae.
GUAGUGCGUGGCCGAAUGGUUACGCUGUCCGCUUUGUAAGCGGAUGAUUCUGGGUUCGAUUCCCAUCUGCUCCA